Molecule: transfer RNA, 69 nt
Filed under: Ictidomys tridecemlineatus (thirteen-lined ground squirrel)
Lineage: Eukaryota; Metazoa; Chordata; Mammalia; Rodentia; Sciuridae
Description: Spermophilus tridecemlineatus (thirteen-lined ground squirrel) tRNA
Rfam family: tRNA
About the family: Transfer RNA (tRNA) molecules are approximately 80 nucleotides in length. Their secondary structure includes four short double-helical elements and three loops (D, anti-codon, and T loops).
Source: Rfam by way of RNAcentral
GGGGUUGUAGCUCAGUGGAAGAGUGCUUGCCUGGCAUGUAUGAGGCAAUGGGUUUGAUUCUCAGCACCA